AUGGUCACUAUCCUUUCAGACAGCCCUAGCACCCCAUCAUCUGUUUUGGGCUCGGCCCAUGGUCUCUCCCUUGGUAGCCCUCGCACUCCGCCGCUGGGAUUGGAUUUGGCCCAUGGAUCCUCUUUGACCAGCCCAAUUUUAUUAUUUGAUGAUGAUUCGCUUGACACCUCAUCUCCGGUUUGUUUUCCGUCACCGAAGGAAAUUGUGGAUGAGUUACAGAGUUUCAAUGAGAUGAUUGAAGAUAUGGCAGUUAAAUAUUGGGAUUUUCAUAACUGUUUGGGUUUGGGUCAUAUGUUCGAUACGUGCACGAAUCGUAUACGCUGCAGAUUGUGUUUUCGGUUCGGUCACGUUAAGAAAGACUGCCCGGGUAUUAAUGUUGGUUCCACUGUUUGGGUACCUAAAGUCCCGUCGCCAGGUUUCGAGCCUCGCGCCUUGACAGAACCCCUCCCCGACGCUUCGGGCUCCCUGCCUUCACCGCCCACCUCCACCACUUCCCCACAGAACCAAUCUGCCCAAAAACCCCAAUCGCCUCCACCAUCGCCUGCUGCAGCUGAUACUCCAUCCAUGGCGGUCUAUGAGCUUGACCCCCGGCGAUUUCUUUCUACUGGCCAUGACAUCAUUGAUGGAGAGGCAGAGCGUUUGCCAAGAACCUACUACACCCCGCUGCAGGCCCCUCCAAGAGCCCAUGAGCAGUUCAUGGUGGCCAUUGUCGAGCCGCUGCCGCCGGCUCAUCUUGUGGCCAUCAGACGGGAGCAAGUGCUCAACUUCUUGCAAGAGGAUCUUCAGGUGAUUAUUCGCUCUGCUCAAACCUGGUUCCAGGGGGUUGGGUUAUUUGAAGUGGCCAGUCGGGUGAUGCGAUCUUGGUUUACUCGACAUCCUUCUUUCCCCAUGGGUUUAGAUGAAGAUGGCAAUGAGUUCUUUGUGCGUUUCAUACCACACAAUCAGGGAGAGGGUUUUAGGGCUAUUCAUGGACACAGAACGGGUUGGUUAAUGUUCAUUGGUGUACCGUUGGAUUACAGGAAUACCCGAUACAUGUCUAAUGUUGUCAGUACUUUUGGUCAGUUUCAUUACUGGGAUGAGCCAGAUCGGCGAUUAGUGAGAUCUUUGGUGUAUGCUUCUUUCCCGGAUAACAUCAUGGUGCCUCGCUCUGUGGUCUUUCAUGAGUAUGCUAAUUGGGGAGGUACUAUUGUUUCCUGGACUGCUGCGGUCUAUAUUCUCACUGAUAAUUUUGCGGAAGCCAUGUUGGGUGCUGAUGAAGACCCAAUGCCCUUGGAUGGAAACCCUCAUCCUAUGCCAGGGCAUGUCCCCCCACAACCCUUCUGGGGGAUGCCACCGUUUCCUGCUUUGGGUUGGGAUGCUAAUCCUGCGAAUGGCGAACAUCAACCGGAGCAACCUCAUGGCUGGGGCGUUGAUCAACCUGAACAGCAGCCAGAGCCAGCACAUAAUGCUGAGGGAUGGGGCCCUUGGGAUGAGGCUGUGGUUGCACAGAACGCUCAAGUGCAUGAGCCUGCAGUUCAAGAAGCCCAAGAUCAGAACUCCAUGGUGUUGAAUCCUUGCUUGGGGUCCAACAGCUCCUCUGACGAUCAGCCAGCAGACGUUGAAGUGGUUCAGCAGAUUGUGGUCCAGGAAAAUUUGGAGCGAGCACUAGUUCCCUACAUUCCUCCAUCAGUUCAUCCACCCGUGGUUAACCUUGACCCAAUACACCUGGGCCUUGUCAGGGUUGUGUUUGGUCCGGUUCUUCCACCUGCCAUGGUGUGGGAGCGUUCUUUCAAGAACCUUCUGCCUGAAUUUGAAAUUCAGAGCAUUCACAGGCCUGUCUGUCUACAUGUGCUUCCACCUGCGGUUUUGCCCAUGAGGAUUUGGCCCCAGGAGUUUGAAUGCUCCUUCCUGUCUCUAAUUGGUCAGGCUACUCCUGGAACGGUUGGAGGAGUUGCUUCACUGAGGGAGUUACCUGAGGGUUUAUCUGCGGAGCCAGUUGAUCAGGAUGUUUUUGAUGGACCUGCAACUCUGUCUGAGGUUUUUUCUGCGGAGCCAGUUUGGCUUGAUGACUUUGAGUUUAUGUCCAGGACUCCAUCCAUGUUAGGCAAGCACAAAUGUGGCCAUCGUCAGGGCUCCAAGCUCGUUCGUUCUCUAGAGGAUUUUUCCACCAGGAGGAUGACCCGCAGUUGCGCCAAGAAAUCGGGUUUCAAACCUACUUCUGCAAUCCCCAACAAGCCGUCUUCUCUCCGGCGACCUCGUGCUAAGAAGCCUAGGUAUGGUUCUGUCUCUCAGGAGGAGAACUCGUCUGCGGCGGGGGAGCAUAGCACGACAGUUCCACCACCUACGCCAAUUAGUCUCACGCAGCGUAUUGGAGAAUCUCUUGGGAUCUCACCAGAGAAGCUCACCGAGGACAAGCUUAUGGCAAGUCCUGAGAAGAAGGACCAGCACAAUGAUCGUGAUGAUAAGUGA
Molecule: ribosomal RNA, 2448 nt
Filed under: Triticum aestivum (bread wheat)
Lineage: Eukaryota; Viridiplantae; Streptophyta; Magnoliopsida; Poales; Poaceae
Description: partial small subunit ribosomal RNA
Source: RNAcentral